This 375-nucleotide ribosomal RNA is filed under the name Vibrio cholerae. RNAcentral describes it as "bacterial SSU rRNA". It matches the Rfam family "Bacterial small subunit ribosomal RNA", at positions 1 to 371 of the family's 1533-position model. The record is from RNAcentral. Lineage: Bacteria; Pseudomonadati; Pseudomonadota; Gammaproteobacteria; Vibrionales; Vibrionaceae.
UUAAUUGAAGAGUUUGAUCAUGGCUCAGAUUGAACGCUGGCGGCAGGCCUAACACAUGCAAGUCGAGCGGCAGCACAGAGGAACUUGUUCCUUGGGUGGCGAGCGGCGGACGGGUGAGUAAUGCCUGGGAAAUUGCCCGGUAGAGGGGGAUAACCAUUGGAAACGAUGGCUAAUACCGCAUAACCUCGCAAGAGCAAAGCAGGGGACCUUCGGGCCUUGCGCUACCGGAUAUGCCCAGGUGGGAUUAGCUAGUUGGUGAGGUAAGGGCUCACCAAGGCGACGAUCCCUAGCUGGUCUGAGAGGAUGAUCAGCCACACUGGAACUGAGACACGGUCCAGACUCCUACGGGAGGCAGCAGUGGGGAAUAUUGCACAA